Molecule: ribosomal RNA, 663 nt
Filed under: Triticum aestivum (bread wheat)
Lineage: Eukaryota; Viridiplantae; Streptophyta; Magnoliopsida; Poales; Poaceae
Description: partial small subunit ribosomal RNA
Source: RNAcentral
AUGACGGCGGCGUCAAUGACCUCCAUUUACGGCUAUGAUAGUGUUAUCAUCAAUGGUGUCAACGACAUGAACGAAGGUUGGACGUUGGUGUUCUACUCGAACCCCGACUACUUUGCGUACUGGAGGAGAGCGUCAUCCAAAAGAGAAGGCGGGGUGCCCUUCCAAAAUAAAUUCCCAAACCCCAACAGAGAAUUCCCUAACAACUCCACCACAAUGGCAUCGCCGGCGCUGCCGUGCAGCCUCGACGCCCCGCCGACGGCGCAGGCGACCCUCCCGGACCACCUCACGGAGGAGAUCCUCCUCCGCCUCACCACGGCCGCCGACCUCGCCCGCGCCUCCAUGGCCGGGCCCUCCCUCCGCCGCGUCAUCGCCGAUCACUCCUUUCUCCGUCGCUUCCGCGCCCUCCACCCGCCGUCUCUCCUGGGUGUAAUCUCGUGCUCCUUCGUACCGUCCGAGCCACCCCAUCCCUCCGCCGCCGCCGCCCGAGCACUCACUGGCACCGACUUCUCCUGCUCCUUCCUCCCGUCCCGCGAGCAGUCCUGGUGUCGCUGCGACUUCCGCGACGGCCGCGCCCUCUUCUGCGUCUUCCCCGACGACGGUGUGCUGGUCAGGGACGUCGCCGUGUGCGACCCGCUACACCGGUGCCACCUGACACGCUAUUAA